This 289-nucleotide ribosomal RNA is filed under the name uncultured bacterium. RNAcentral describes it as "partial 16S ribosomal RNA". It matches the Rfam family "Bacterial small subunit ribosomal RNA", at positions 773 to 1060 of the family's 1533-position model. The record is from RNAcentral.
GUGGAUUAGAUACCCUGGUAGUCCACGCCCUAAACGAUGACAACUAGGUGUUGGGGAAGCGAUUUCUCAGUACCGCAGCUAACGCGUGAAGUUGUCCGCCUGGGGAGUACGGUCGCAAGAUUAAAACUCAAAGGAAUUGACGGGGACCCGCACAAGCGGUGGAUGAUGUGGAUUAAUUCGAUGCAACGCGAAUAACCUUACCUACCCUUGACAUGUACGGAAGCCCAACGAGAGUUGGGUGUGCCCGAAAGGGAGCCGUAACACAGGUGCUGCACGGCUGUCGUCAACU